Long non-coding RNA from Choloepus didactylus (southern two-toed sloth), 714 nucleotides. RefSeq lists it as uncharacterized. The transcript is spliced from 3 exons. NCBI's taxonomy places the organism in Eukaryota, Metazoa, Chordata, Mammalia, Pilosa, Megalonychidae. The record is from RefSeq and is a predicted model, not a curated record.
CCCAGACGCCGCGGCUGGCACUCGCAGCUCACGCCCUUUGUUCCGCUUCAGUCCCGACGCCGCGACCUCACGACAGGCCGAAGAGGCCUGCGCUACUCACGUGUCCUCCAAGUGCUGCUCCAAAGUCUCUUCCAUUCCGCCCGAGGUUCGCGAACCCUCAGCGAGACGCGUAGUUCCCCCCUGACCUUAGGCGCUCCUCCCUCACAAGACACCCCGGUACGCGGACUGGGACGGCAGCUCCAAAGGGUCAAAAUUCAUCGAGGCGCAACGUUCGCGUUCCUAACUGGGAGACGCCGUGCAGCUGUUGGGUGAUAUCCUUAGUGACCCACGCCGGGCUCCCCUCCGGAACCCGGCAGCGCGAGUUUUUUCGGGAGAAAGCUCUUGGAACCCGAAACUACCAGGAGGGUCCAGCAGGGAAUGCCCGUGGCCACCUCUCCAGACUGGGAAGCAGGGAAUAAGAGACGGAGUGUGGGAGCUAAAACCUUCAAGACUAAUUCUGCCAUUGGGCCAAGAGAUCCUAAUCCCUCUUCCCUGACCCAUCCAGGAGCGGAACCUUCCUGUUGCUUAUAAUCUGGGUGAGGACACAUACAAGGAGAUAACUAAGGGCAAUGAAAGUAGGAGCCAAAUGAUGGCUUCAGACAUCGAGCAGUCUUGCGUUCAUGGGAGGAGAUCACAGGGCUGGACUCGUAUAGUUGCUCUAUAAAGCUGUGUUAA